UACGAAGGGGGCUAGCGUUGCUCGGAAUCACUGGGCGUAAAGGGUGCGUAGGCGGGUCUUUUAAGUCAGGGGUGAAAUCCUGGAGCUCAACUCCAGAACUGCCUUUGAUACUGAGGAUCUUGAGUUCGGGAGAGGUGAGUGGAACUGCGAGUGUAGAGGUGAAAUUCGUAGAUAUUCGCAAGAACACCAGUGGCGAAGGCAGCUCACUGGCCCGAUACUGACGCUGAGGCACGAAAGCGUGGGGAGCAAACAGG
Molecule: ribosomal RNA, 254 nt
Filed under: uncultured bacterium
Lineage: Bacteria
Description: partial 16S ribosomal RNA
Rfam family: Bacterial small subunit ribosomal RNA
Source: RNAcentral